UACGUAGGUGACAAGCGUUGUCCGGAUUUACUGGGCGUAAAGAGCGCGCAGGCGGUCGAUCAAGUCGAGUGUGAAAGCCCCCGGCUCAACUGGGGAGGGUCAUUCGAUACUGAUCGACUCGAAGGCAGGAGAGGGUAGUGGAAUUCCCGGUGUAGUGGUGAAAUGCGUAGAUAUCGGGAGGAACACCAGUGGCGAAAGCGACUCUCUGGGACGGUACUGACGCUGAGACACGAAAGCUUGGGGAGCAAACAGG
This 253-nucleotide ribosomal RNA is filed under the name uncultured bacterium. Its description in RNAcentral is "partial 16S ribosomal RNA". It matches the Rfam family "Bacterial small subunit ribosomal RNA", at positions 524 to 776 of the family's 1533-position model. The record is from RNAcentral.